GACAUUCUGCGUUCAAUGUACUCUUGUAUCCGAUCAAAAAACGUGAUCAAUAGGACACCCUCGACAACCUCCGUGAUCAUAUCGCCUUUAGUUAGAGCGAAAUCUUGCUCCAUUAAAGCGUUCUGCGCCGGCACCGGCGAGGCCCCUAAUAGUGCUAAUUUAUACGACGCUCUAGGUACCUCCGAUCCCUGAACCUUUUGUCCAUUCCCAU
This 211-nucleotide long non-coding RNA is filed under the name Gossypium barbadense (sea-island cotton). RNAcentral describes it as "long non-coding RNA (GBAR_LNC005474)". Lineage: Eukaryota; Viridiplantae; Streptophyta; Magnoliopsida; Malvales; Malvaceae. The record is from RNAcentral.